RNAcentral lists this ribosomal RNA (298 nucleotides) under Hectopsylla cypha. RNAcentral describes it as "partial 12S ribosomal RNA". The record is from RNAcentral. Lineage: Eukaryota; Metazoa; Arthropoda; Insecta; Siphonaptera; Hectopsyllidae.
UUACUUAAGUAGUAUUAGUUAUAUUCUUGAAACUUAAAAAAUUUGGCGGUAUUUUAAUCUUUUUAGAGGAACCUGUUCUAUAAUCGAUAAUCCACGUUUUAUCUUACUAAAUUAUUUAUAUAUCGUUGUCGAAAGAAUAAAUUUUCUAAAAUUUUAAUUUAAAUAAAUGUCAAAUCAAGGUGUAGUUUAUAAUUUAGUAGAAAUGGGUUACAAUAAAAAUAUUUAGGAUUUUAAUGAAGGUGGAUUUAAAUGUAAAUUAAUUUUAAUAAAUUUAGUUGAUUAAAGUUCUAAAAUAUGU